RNAcentral lists this RNase P RNA (423 nucleotides) under Rhodobacterales bacterium. RNAcentral describes it as "Bacterial RNase P class A". It matches the Rfam family "Bacterial RNase P class A". From Rfam's summary of the family: Ribonuclease P (RNase P) is a ubiquitous endoribonuclease, found in archaea, bacteria and eukarya as well as chloroplasts and mitochondria. Its best characterised activity is the generation of mature 5'-ends of tRNAs by cleaving the 5'-leader elements of precursor-tRNAs. Cellular RNase Ps are ribonucleoproteins. Lineage: Bacteria; Pseudomonadati; Pseudomonadota; Alphaproteobacteria; Rhodobacterales. The record is from Rfam by way of RNAcentral.
CCAGUCGGCCGGACAGCCGCUGCCGCAAGUGCCGAAAGGCCGCGGGGGAGGAAAGUCCGGGCUCCACGGAAACACGGUGCCGGGUAACGCCCGGCGAGGGCGACCUCAGGGAAAGUGCCACAGAAAGCAAACCGCCCCGGCCGGAUCGCAAGGUUCGCCGCGGGGUAAGGGUGAAAGGGUGGAGUAAGAGACCACCGCGCUGCUGGUAACAGCAGCGGCACGGUAAACCCCACCGGGAGCAAAACCGAAUAGGGACAGCGCGAGCGGAAGCGAUUUCGCUCAGGCCGGUUUCCUGGCCAGCUGUCCGGGUUGGUUGCGAGAGGCGUCUGGCAACAGGCGUCCCAGAUGAAUGGCUGUCGCGUUCGUGCGGGUCUCGUACCCUUGCGAGCCAUACAGAACCCGGCUUACAGGCCGGCUGGCACA